RNA transcript from Pyrus x bretschneideri (Chinese white pear), 429 nucleotides. RefSeq lists it as uncharacterized. The transcript has 3 exons. Lineage: Eukaryota; Viridiplantae; Streptophyta; Magnoliopsida; Rosales; Rosaceae. The record is from RefSeq and is a predicted model, not a curated record.
ACACAAUUAAGCUUUUGUUUGAGUGUUUAAGGCAAACACUCAAACCAUUUUGGGAUCAAUUUCACGUAAUUAUAUAUAAGAUGGGAGCUGAAAACGAGGACAAACAUAAGACUUCUGAGAAAGGACUGUUUUCAUCAUUCGGUUCUGGAUUUGGUGCCGGACAUGGAGGACAGUAUGUUAAACCAUGCCCUCCACAAAGAUAUGGAUACCCCCCACAGCCACAACAAACACAGUAUUCAUCAUAUUCAUACUCCUCUUCAGGCGGGAACUCUCCAACUGGAUAUCCUACCUCUGGAGGGUGUCAGCAGGCCUCCUACGCUGGUGGAUAUCCGCCAGCCGGUGGUUAUUCAUCAGGUUUAACAACUUCAUAUCAUUCUGCAGCUACAGCGCAUGAAUCAUCUACCAUGGGAAUGGGAGGGAUGUUAGCUG